GAGGAAGGAAAGAAAACAGUAAGUACUGCUAAUCCUUACGCACCUUGGUUAAAAUCCAAGGCUUCCUCA
This 69-nucleotide transfer RNA is filed under the name Sundadanio axelrodi 'blue'. RNAcentral describes it as "tRNA-Ser". The record is from RNAcentral. Lineage: Eukaryota; Metazoa; Chordata; Actinopteri; Cypriniformes; Sundadanionidae.